This 197-nucleotide ribosomal RNA is filed under the name uncultured bacterium. RNAcentral's name for it is "partial 16S ribosomal RNA". It matches the Rfam family "Bacterial small subunit ribosomal RNA", at positions 335 to 524 of the family's 1533-position model. The record is from RNAcentral.
ACUCCUACGGAAGGCAGCAGUAGGGAAUAUUGCGCAAUGGGCGAAAGCCUGACGCAGCGAUGCCGCGUGAGUGACGAAGGUCUUAGGAUUGUAAAGCUCUUUUCUGAGGGAAGAAUAGGUCUGGUAGGAAAUGACUGGAUUCUGACGGUACCUGCAGAAGAAGCACCGGCUAACUCCGUGCCAGCAGCCGCGGUAAU